Molecule: ribosomal RNA, 395 nt
Filed under: uncultured Desulfobulbus sp.
Lineage: Bacteria; Pseudomonadati; Thermodesulfobacteriota; Desulfobulbia; Desulfobulbales; Desulfobulbaceae
Description: bacterial SSU rRNA
Rfam family: Bacterial small subunit ribosomal RNA
Source: RNAcentral
GAGAACUUUCCAGAGAUGGAUUGGUGCCUUCGGGAACUCUGACACAGGUGCUGCAUGGCUGUCGUCAGCUCGUGUCGUGAGAUGUUGGGUUAAGUCCCGUAACGAGCGCAACCCUUGUCCUUAGUUACCAGCACGUUAUGGUGGGCACGUCUAAGGAGAACGUGCCGGUGACAAACCGGAGGAAGGUGGGGAUGACGUCAAGUCCUCAUGGCCUUUAUGACCAGGGCUACACACGUACUACAAUGGCCGAUACAAAGGGCAGCGACACUGCGAGGUGAAGCCAAUCCCGUAAAAUCGGUCUCAGUCCGGAUUGGAGUCUGCAACUCGACUCCAUGAAGUUGGAAUCGCUAGUAAUCGUGGAUCAGCAUGCCACGGUGAAUACGUUCCCGGGCCUU